CCUCCCAAGGCAAAUCCAUCAAAACAAGGAUUGAAAC
Molecule: non-coding RNA, 37 nt
Organism: Nitritalea halalkaliphila LW7
Lineage: Bacteria; Pseudomonadati; Bacteroidota; Cytophagia; Cytophagales; Cyclobacteriaceae
Source: Rfam